This 1115-nucleotide long non-coding RNA is filed under the name Taeniopygia guttata (zebra finch). RNAcentral's name for it is "lncRNA (ENSTGUG00000018987.1)". The record is from RNAcentral. Lineage: Eukaryota; Metazoa; Chordata; Aves; Passeriformes; Estrildidae.
GCAGGGACUGCAGCAGCUGCCGAAAUGCUGCAGUGGGUGCUGGCAAGGAAGGUUGGAGCUGAAAGUUUCUGGAUGAGGCUCCAGCUCCAAAGCUGCCCUUGGAUGUGUUUUGUCCUGGAGAGCCCCUGGUGGCCCAAGGGACUUGGCUGGCUCCAUGGGGUUGCUGUGGGCACUGUGCUGAAGGGCUGAGACCCCACAGCUGAGGAUCCCCUCCCUGCUCUGCUGGGCUGCCAAGAGCCCUUGUGCUGCUGCUGGCCUGUCCAAGUCACCACUAAAAGCUGCACUGAAAGAGCGUGGCUGAAGUGACGAGUGAAGAAAGCUGGGAAACACCACAGUUUGGGCUGCUUGAUGAAUUUUCUACCUUUUAUUUAAAUAGGAGGCUAAAUCCAUCCACUGCCUUGGAUUGUGGUGGCCUGCAGAGGAUUUCUCUGACAGAUGCCCGGGGGUGCUGCAGUGAUGUUUGUGCUGUGCUUGGUGUGAACAGCCCACUCACAGCCCUGGCUGAGGGGUGCUGGGAGCAGCUGGGAUUUUCUGGCCACUUGCCUGCACCGUGGGAUGCCCACCCACUGCUGGAGAAGUGAACUCUCAGCCCUGGAAUUCAGAGAAUAGGCUGUGGAUAGGAGCAGAGGGAGUACCUGGAUGUCAGCAGUGCUUCACUCUUUUCUGUGGCUACUGAGGCUCUCCCCAGAGUUUCCCACGUUAUUCCCAUUUUCCCAGCAGGAUUUUCUAGAGAACAAGAUGUGGCUGAGUGUGUGAAUGCUGUGCUCUGGGAAACACCAGCUUUGCCCAAAGUCCAACAUGUUUUGCACACCUUGAUGUGUUUGGCGCCUCAGUGCCAGCAAUGGGCAGUGCCUCCUCCAAAAACCCCUGAGCAUGGGAACAUCUUCAGACAGAAGGAGAAAAAAUGGGUUUUUUGGGAAAUUCAGGCAUAACUGAACUCUCCUCUUGCUGAUGGACAAAGGGAAAAGGUUUCAGUGCUCCUCAGGCCUCUCCCAGGCCCCUGUCUCUGCUCUCUGGGUUGAUGCUCCUCUCUUCCCUGCUUCUCAGGCUCUCCAUAGUUUGGUCCCACAGCCUUUCUCCUCUGCCAGCCCUCUCUACCCUUAAAAAAAUGCUCG